RNAcentral lists this ribosomal RNA (258 nucleotides) under uncultured bacterium. RNAcentral's name for it is "partial 16S ribosomal RNA". It matches the Rfam family "Bacterial small subunit ribosomal RNA", at positions 96 to 354 of the family's 1533-position model. The record is from RNAcentral.
UGGCGGACGGGUGAGUAACGCGUGGAUAACCUGGCCCAUACAGGGGGAUAGCAGCUGGAAACGGCUGGUAAUACCGCAUAAGCGCACAGGGGCGCAUGCCCUGGUGUGAAAAACUCCGGUGGUAUGGGAUGGGUCCGCGUCUGAUUAGGCAGUUGGCGGGGUAAAGGCCCACCAAACCGACGAUCAGUAGCCGGCCUGAGAGGGUGGGCGGCCACAUUGGGACUGAGACACGGCCCAAACUCCUACGGAAGGCAGCAG